RNAcentral lists this long non-coding RNA (584 nucleotides) under Marmota monax (woodchuck). Lineage: Eukaryota; Metazoa; Chordata; Mammalia; Rodentia; Sciuridae. The record is from RNAcentral.
GGUGUACACACGCGUGCGCGGAGUCACAAUUUGCUUUGGAUCUUGAAGUCCUACUUUGUGCCAGAUAGUACACUAGGAAUUGGGAAAUUCACUGAAAGGAAAACAAAGUUGUUACCUCAGCAAGUUUAUCUUUUUAUUAGGAGUAGCAAUAUUGUGUUACUCUAGACAGAUUUUAAAAUGUAGUGGGGAUGUUGAUAAAGGUAUUACUAUAGUAUAAUUGGGAAGGUGACUUCAAAGAAUUUUCCUAGGUUAAAAAAGAUUGAGUAGAAUGAAAUUGGAAGAAACUAGAACAUAAAAUACAGGGAUUUUUCAGCAAUAGGAAGAAGAAAAGCUUUUUAUGAACAAGAGAAAAUAUUCUGAAAAAUAAGAAGACAAGGAAAUAGUAAUGUUACAAAGAAUCAAAGAGUAUCCAGGACUGGGGAUAUAGUUCUGUUGGUAGAGUGCUUGCCUUGCAUGUACAAGGCCCCGCAGCACACAAAAUGAAUGAAUGAAUGAAUGAAUGAAUGAAUAAAUAAAUAAAUAAAUGAGUCAAAGUCUUAAGAAAAAAAAAACAAAAUACAAAGAGUAUCCAAUGGGAAAGGAAA